GGGCCGGUACGUACCGGUCCGGCCGUGGACCGGUACCGGAACGGAUAAAAAACCGGUAUUUCCCGGUUUUUUAUCCGAACCGGCCGGUUCGGAGCCCGUACCGGCCGGUACCGGCCUCGUACCGGUGCGAACCGGCCGGUUCGCACGGGUACAAAUUUUUUUUUAGAACCACAGCGCCGCGCGCUGUGGUUUUUGAAACCACCGCGUACCGGCCGGUACGGGACCGGUACCAGCCGGUACGUACCUGACCGGACCGGUACCGUACCGGUCCGGCCGGCCACCGGUACGCCGACCGGUACUGGUACGGCGGACCUUGAUACCAACACUGUACCAGCAUGGUAGUAGCAUGAUGGCAAACCUUGACUUAGACCAAUUUGAAAUAUAUGAUAAGUAAAUAAGAAGAAAAUCCAAAUACAAAGCUCUCUAGCUUUGAGGGUUAAAUGUUAGUUCAUGGGAAUCAGUUAAUAGAAGAUGCUGACUUUGAGUAAUAAAGUGAGAGGAAAUUUACCCAACACAUUGAC
RNAcentral lists this long non-coding RNA (521 nucleotides) under Phoenix dactylifera (date palm). Its description in RNAcentral is "long non-coding RNA (PDAC_LNC022046)". The record is from RNAcentral. Lineage: Eukaryota; Viridiplantae; Streptophyta; Magnoliopsida; Arecales; Arecaceae.